GAUGAACGCUGGCGGCGUGCCUAAUACAUGCAAGUCGAGCGAACGGACGAGAAGCUUGCUUCUCUGAUGUUAGCGGCGGACGGGUGAGUAACACGUGGAUAACCUACCUAUAAGACUGGGAUAACUUCGGGAAACCGGAGCUAAUACCGGAUAAUAUUUUGAACCGCAUGGUUCAAAAGUGAAAGACGGUCUUGCUGUCACUUAUAGAUGGAUCCGCGCUGCAUUAGCUAGUUGGUAAGGUAACGGCCUACCAAGGCAACGAUGCAUAGCCGACCUGAGAGGGUGAUCGGCCACACUGGAACUGAGACACGGUCCAGACUCCUACGGGAGGCAGCAGUAGGGAAUCUUCCGCAAUGGGCGAAAGCCUGACGGAGCAACGCCGCGUGAGUGAUGAAGGUCUUCGGAUCGUAAAACUCUGUUAUUAGGGAAGAACAUAUGUGUAAGUAACUGUGCACAUCUUGACGGUACCUAAUCAGAAAGCCACGGCUAACUACGUGCCAGCAGCCGCGGUAAUACGUAGGUGGCAAGCGUUAUCCGGAAUUAUUGGGCGUAAAGCGCGCGUAGGCGGUUUUUUAAGUCUGAUGUGAAAGCCCACGGCUCAACCGUGGAGGGUCAUUGGAAACUGGAAAACUUGAGUGCAGAAGAGGAAAGUGGAAUUCCAUGUGUAGCGGUGAAAUGCGCAGAGAUAUGGAGGAACACCAGUGGCGAAGGCGACUUUCUGGUCUGUAACUGACGCUGAUGUGCGAAAGCGUGGGGAUCAAAUAGGAUUAGAUACCCUGGUAGUCCACGCCGUAAACGAUGAGUGCUAAGUGUUAGGGGGUUUCCGCCCCUUAGUGCUGCAGCUAACGCAUUAAGCACUCCGCCUGGGGAGUACGACCGCAAGGUUGAAACUCAAAGGAAUUGACGGGGACCCGCACAAGCGGUGGAGCAUGUGGUUUAAUUCGAAGCAACGCGAAGAACCUUACCAAAUCUUGACAUCCUUUGACAACUCUAGAGAUAGAGCUUUCCCCUUCGGGGGACAAAGUGACAGGUGGUGCAUGGUUGUCGUCAGCUCGUGUCGUGAGAUGUUGGGUUAAGUCCCGCAACGAGCGCAACCCUUAAGCUUAGUUGCCAUCAUUAAGUUGGGCACUCUAAGUUGACUGCCGGUGACAAACCGGAGGAAGGUGGGGAUGACGUCAAAUCAUCAUGCCCCUUAUGAUUUGGGCUACACACGUGCUACAAUGGACAAUACAAAGGGCAGCGAAACCGCGAGGUCAAGCAAAUCCCAUAAAGUUGUUCUCAGUUCGGAUUGUAGUCUGCAACUCGACUACAUGAAGCUGGAAUCGCUAGUAAUCGUAGAUCAGCAUGCUACGGUGAAUACGUUCCCGGGUCU
RNAcentral lists this ribosomal RNA (1372 nucleotides) under uncultured bacterium. Its description in RNAcentral is "bacterial SSU rRNA". It matches the Rfam family "Bacterial small subunit ribosomal RNA", at positions 28 to 1381 of the family's 1533-position model. The record is from RNAcentral.